CCUGAUGCAGCAACGCCGCGUGAGGGACGAAGGCCUUCGGGUUGUAAACCUCUUUUAGUAGGGAAGAAGCGAAAGUGACGGUACCUGCAGAAAAAGCACCGGCUAACUACGUGCCAGCAGCCGCGGUAAUACGUAGGGUGCAAGCGUUGUCCGGAAUUAUUGGGCGUAAAGAGCUCGUAGGCGGUUUGUCGCGUCUGCUGUGAAAACUGGAGGCUCAACCUCCAGCCUGCAGUGGGUACGGGCAGACUAGAGUGCGGUAGGGGAGAUUGGAAUUCCUGGUGUAGCGGUGGAAUGCGCAGAUAUCAGGAGGAACACCGAUGGCGAAGGCAGAUCUCUGGGCCGUAACUGACGCUGAGGAGCGAAAGCAUGGGGAGCGAACAGGAUUAGAUACCCUGGUAGUCCAUGCCGUAAACGUUGGGAACUAGAUGUAGGGGCCAUUCCACGGUUUCUGUGUCGCAGCUAACGCAUUAAGUUCCCCGCCUGGGGAGUACGGCCGCAAGGCUAAAACUCAAAGGAAUUGACGGGGGCCCGCACAAGCGGCGGAGCAUGCGGAUUAAUUCGAUGCAACGCGAAGAACCUUACCAAGGCUUGACAUAUACCGGAAACGGCUAGAGAUAGUCGCCCCGCAAGGUCGGUAU
Molecule: ribosomal RNA, 638 nt
Filed under: Microbacteriaceae bacterium Se1Ps_2034
Lineage: Bacteria; Bacillati; Actinomycetota; Actinomycetes; Micrococcales; Microbacteriaceae
Also listed under: 2 other names
Description: bacterial SSU rRNA
Rfam family: Bacterial small subunit ribosomal RNA
Source: RNAcentral